Molecule: transfer RNA, 72 nt
Filed under: Pseudomonadota bacterium
Lineage: Bacteria; Pseudomonadati; Pseudomonadota
Also listed under: 3 other names
Description: tRNA-Thr
Rfam family: tRNA
About the family: Transfer RNA (tRNA) molecules are approximately 80 nucleotides in length. Their secondary structure includes four short double-helical elements and three loops (D, anti-codon, and T loops).
Source: RNAcentral
GCCGAUGUAGCUCAGCGGUAGAGCAGCGCACUCGUAAUGCGCAGGUCAGGGGUUCGAAUCCCCUCAUCGGCU